CUGUAAAUCAAGGUUCCCGAUUAAACUGUGUGAAGAAGGUUCCUCGGUGUUGCGUAGUUCUUGCUGGUCAAGGGUAGAAGCGACAAGUGGUGGCCCGUACGGGAAUCAGAACUUCUCACAGUUGGGGUGGCGCUGGAUCAGCAAGACCAGGUGUGGAUUCCAGAGAGACUAAUGAGGCGGUGCAACAAACAAGAUGAAGCCUCCGAUAUUGAUCCUGCUGCUGACCUUGACAACACCGUGGCUGAUCCAGGCCAGAGAACAAAUCCUGUGGGCCAUAGCGAAAGCGUGGCCAAUUCCCUUGCCUGUUCAUAGCACAUCUAAAGUUUUGCCUGUUUUCUUUUCUACUAGCUGUGAAUUGAGCUUGCCUUAUGUAAAUUUAGACCCUGACACUGCCCAGUAUUCAGCCACUAAUAUUUCUCUCCAUGGAGCAUUAUGCUUCUCCCUUAUUAAUAAUUCUAACCCAUGCAUUUGGCUGAAGAAUGGUUCUGUUGGCAAUUGGCUUGACUCCCUUUUACUCAUAACCAGAUCUCGAGCGCUAUGCUCAUUGAAGUCCUGACCCAGAUUAGUACAGGCGCUAGUUCUGGCUCCAGCGCUGGUACAAAUGGGACCAAGGAUGUAAAUAUCACUACAUUUCUGAUGCUGAUAGAGGGGCUCCAACCCUCAAAUUCACGCUUUAGUCAAGAGAACUCCACUGCUCGACAAGUCUUGCCUUAUUGUGCACCCAAUCAAGGGUAUCCUUCUCAUUGGUCGCCCUGUCAGAGUCCGGACCACAAACUUAAACAGAUAGCUCCUGGUUUUGAAUUUACUCCCCCUCUUGGCAGGUAUCAGUAUAACUUAACUCAAGGAGGUUCUCAAAGAACAGGCAGUAAAAAUAACUGGCCAUGGUUUCAAUGGGUACUCUCCAACGAGCGUGGAACGUUUUCUUCUCUUGAACCUUUUGCGGUUCUUCAGAAUCUCUGCAUAAGACUUUUUAAUGUUUCUGGUACUAGGGAUGAGAAGGGACCUUCUCUUAAGAAUCUAUCAAUACAUAAAACUUUGGAUAAUUUCACUGUUCCAGCUAACCCAGUAUGUUUAAAAGCUCCCUUUUUCUUUCUGCUCUCUAAUGCUACUGAUGCUACCAAAGAAGUGAUCUUGUGCAAUUCGACUGACCUCUCCUGCAUUGCUAGUCAGUGUUGGAAUGGUUCUGCUAAUACAGCAGUAGUGAUGAGGAUUCCGAUGUAUGUUCCUAUUCUGGUUAAAGUGGAUACAGGAACAUUUCCCAUUACGGAAAUCAUCAGAACCAAACGGAAUUUUGGCAUAACUGCAGCAUUGGUUACUGCCAUAACCCUUUCUGCAGCAGUGGCUACGACUGCUCAGGUCCAAUCAGCUGAGACAGUCAAUGACAUUGUGGAAAAAAC
Molecule: long non-coding RNA, 1397 nt
Filed under: Cricetulus griseus (Chinese hamster)
Lineage: Eukaryota; Metazoa; Chordata; Mammalia; Rodentia; Cricetidae
Description: lncRNA (ENSCGRG00015036235.1)
Source: RNAcentral